Molecule: long non-coding RNA, 913 nt
Filed under: Cricetulus griseus (Chinese hamster)
Lineage: Eukaryota; Metazoa; Chordata; Mammalia; Rodentia; Cricetidae
Description: lncRNA (ENSCGRG00000025232.1)
Source: RNAcentral
CUACAUACCAAGGCACUGCUUCACAAUACAAUCAAAAGUAAACUCUACAAUGAGAUCCCCACUGUUAGCGACAGCCCUACUCGAAGCUAUUUCCUCCUCCAAUUCAACAGGCUCUUCCCAAUAAGGUCCACUGAAGGCUUGUCUAAGAACAUUUGAGCAAUGUGUCAGAAGCCGAUGCCUCAUUUUUCUCUCUUCCUUCAGGAUGGCAACUUUAAUGAGGACAAACCCCAGGAAAAUCUCUGAUAACUCCCAACAACCUGUUCAUGUUCGGGUUUACCACUAUGAAGAAUCCUAUGGCUAAGCAAGUAUUCAGGCAUCAAGUACAAAGGACAAGCACAUACGAAUGCUACAUUGCCAAGAAAUUGUUCUAUCCUCCUGCUUGGUGUGUGCAAACUGUUCCCGGAAUGCUACCAGAAUCUAUUCAUAUUUCCAUCACUGUCAGGAUGAAGGAACACAGCUCAUGACAUGUUGUUGACAAACAGCGGCGAAGAAGUCUCCCUCCAGAAGGGAGUGUUGGUCCAUUCCUAAAAGACGCUCACACAUUCAUCACAUAGAUUUCUCAUGUUGAACUUUAUUCUUGCCAAAUUUCUCCCCAAGAAAUGUCACCAGAAACAACAAAGCAGAAAAUAUGAGAGGGAAAUUCAAGAGAAAGAUCUCUGCCAUUGCACAUCAAGACUGCUGUGCUGUGAGGUCAUUCCCAAGCUGGUUUGACUUCUAGAGCAGGCAAAAUGCUAGCCUCGUCUUCAGUGAAGCCACAUCAAGGGCAGAUUCUGAGAUUUGCUGCCAGGCAUUUGGGAGAAUUUUGAUUGUCUUGUCAUCUCAGAUCCAAAGGAAGUACAAGGAGAAGUAUAAUGAAUUGUUUCUACAAAAAGACAAUUUUAGAUUUCAUGUGAUAUACUUGGUUGAAUAAAAA